ACCUUCCGUUUACUCAGGGAUAGCCUUUCGAAAGAAAGAUUAAUACCUGAUAGUAUGGUGAGAUUGCAUGAUAGCACCAUUAAAGAUUUAUUGGUAAACGAUGGGGAUGCGUUCCAUUAGGUAGUAGGCGGGGUAACGGCCCACCUAGCCGACGAUGGAUAGGGGUUCUGAGAGGAAGGUCCCCCACAUUGGAACUGAGACACGGUCCAAACUCCUACGGGAGGCAGCAGUGAGGAAUAUUGGUCAAUGGGCGAGAGCCUGAACCAGCCAAGUAGCGUGAAGGAUGAAGGUCCUACGGAUUGUAAACUUCUUUUAUACGGGAAUAAAGUAUCCUACGUGUAGGAUUUUGUAUGUACCGUAUGAAUAAGCAUCGGCUAACUCCGUGCCAGCAGCCGCGGUAAUACGGAGGAUGCGAGCGUUAUCCGGAUUUAUUGGGUUUAAAGGGAGCGCAGACGGGAGAUUAAGUCAGUUGUGAAAAUUUGCGGCUCAACCGUAAAAUUGCAGUUGAUACUGGUUUCCUUGAGUGCAGUUGAGGCAGGCGGAAUUCGUGGUGUAGCGGUGAAAUGCUUAGAUAUCACGAAGAACCCCGAUUGCGAAGGCAGCUUGCUAAACUGUAACUGACGUUCAUGCUCGAAAGUGUGGGUAUCAAACAGGAUUAGAUACCCUGGUAGUCCACACGGUAA
This 683-nucleotide ribosomal RNA is filed under the name uncultured bacterium. RNAcentral's name for it is "bacterial SSU rRNA". It matches the Rfam family "Bacterial small subunit ribosomal RNA", at positions 124 to 805 of the family's 1533-position model. The record is from RNAcentral.